This 286-nucleotide ribosomal RNA is filed under the name uncultured Eubacteriales bacterium. RNAcentral describes it as "uncultured Clostridiales bacterium partial 16S ribosomal RNA". The stretch from base 48 to 286 matches the Rfam family "Bacterial small subunit ribosomal RNA", at positions 100 to 339 of the family's 1533-position model. Lineage: Bacteria; Bacillati; Bacillota; Clostridia; Eubacteriales. The record is from RNAcentral.
ACUUUAUUUGAUUUCCUUCGGGACUGAUUAUUUUGUGACUGAGUGGCGGACGGGUGAGUAACACGUGAGCAACCUGCCUUUCAGAGGGGGAUAACGGCUGGAAACGGUCGCUAAUACCGCAUAAGACCACAGCACCGCAUGGUGCGGGGGUAAAAACUCCGGUGGUAUGAGAUGGACCCGCGUCUGAUUAGCUAGUUGGUAAGGUAACGGCUUACCAAGGCGACGAUCAGUAGCCGACCUGAGAGGGUGACCGGCCACAUUGGGACUGAGACACGGCCCAAACUCC